GACGAACGCUGGCGGCGUGCCUAAUACGUGCAAGUAGAACGCUGAAGAGAGGAGCUUGCUCUUCUUGGAAGAGUUGCGAACGGGUGAGUAACGCGUAGGUAACCUGCCUUGUAGCGGGGGAUAACUAUUGGAAACGAUAGCUAAUACCGCAUAACAAUGGGUGACCCAUGUCAUUCAUUUGAAAGGGGCAACUGCUCCACUACAAGAUGGACCUGCGUUGUAUUAGCUAGUAGGUGAGGUAACGGCUCACCUAGGCGACGAUACAUAGCCGACCUGAGAGGGUGAUCGGCCACACUGGGACUGAGACACGGCCCAGACUCCUACGGGAGGCAGCAGUAGGGAAUCUUCGGCAAUGGGGGCAACCCUGACCGAGCAACGUCGCGUGAGUGAAGAAGGUUUUCGGAUCGUAAAGCUCUGUUGUAAGUCAAGAACGAGUGUGAGAGUGGAAAGUUCACACUGUGACGGUAGCUUACCAGAAAGGGACGGCUAACUACGUGCCAGCAGCCGCGGUAAUACGUAGGUCCCGAGCGUUGUCCGGAUUUAUUGGGCGUAAAGCGAGCGCAGGCGGUUUGAUAAGUCUGAAGUUAAAGGCUGUGGCUCAACCAUAGUUCGCUUUGGAAACUGUCAAACUUGAGUGCAGAAGGGGAGAGUGGAAUUCCAUGUGUAGCGGUGAAAUGCGUAGAUAUAUGGAGGAACACCGGUGGCGAAAGCGGCUCUCUGGUCUGUAACUGACGCUGAGGCUCGAAAGCGUGGGGAGCGAACAGG
This 765-nucleotide ribosomal RNA is filed under the name uncultured Streptococcus sp. Its description in RNAcentral is "bacterial SSU rRNA". It matches the Rfam family "Bacterial small subunit ribosomal RNA", at positions 28 to 776 of the family's 1533-position model. The record is from RNAcentral. Lineage: Bacteria; Bacillati; Bacillota; Bacilli; Lactobacillales; Streptococcaceae.